This 219-nucleotide long non-coding RNA is filed under the name Hordeum vulgare. Its description in RNAcentral is "long non-coding RNA (HVUL_LNC016845)". The record is from RNAcentral. Lineage: Eukaryota; Viridiplantae; Streptophyta; Magnoliopsida; Poales; Poaceae.
UAUAUAAAAAUGCUAAUCUGUUUUAAAAAUGGUAAUUUGUUUUUGAAAAAUGACCGCCGUCUAUUAAGAUUUUUUCCAUCCGUUGUUUCGAAAAAUUUCAACAUGUACUAAACAAUAUUCACCGGGUAUGUAGAAAAUGUUUGUCAUGCAUUAAAAAAUUAUUAGCACGUAUUAAAACCUGACCAUGUAUUUUAAAAGUAGUCAAGGAUAUUUUGAAAU